RNAcentral lists this ribosomal RNA (207 nucleotides) under uncultured bacterium. Its description in RNAcentral is "partial 16S ribosomal RNA". It matches the Rfam family "Bacterial small subunit ribosomal RNA", at positions 568 to 774 of the family's 1533-position model. The record is from RNAcentral.
UGCGUAGGCGGUUACGUAAGUCUGGUGUGAAAUCUCCCGGCUCAACUGGGAGGGUGCGCCGGAAACUGCGGAGCUUGAGCACGGGAGAGGAAGGCGGAAUUCCUGGUGUAGCGGUGAAAUGCAUAGAUAUCAGGAGGAACACCGGUGGUGUAGACGGCUUUCUGGACCGUUGCUGACGCUGAGGCACGAAAGCGUGGGGAGCAAACA